UUGCCAUUAUCAAUAAGCGGAGGAAAAGAAACCAACCGGGAUUGCCUUAGUAACGGCGAGUGAAGCGGCAAAAGCUCAAAUUUGAAAUCUGGUACCUUCGGUGCCCGAGUUGUAAUUUGGAGAGGGCAACUUUGGGGCCGUUCCUUGUCUAUGUUCCUUGGAACAGGACGUCAUAGAGGGUGAGAAUCCCGUGUGGCGAGGAGUGCGGUUCUUUGUAAAGUGCCUUCGAAGAGUCGAGUUGUUUGGGAAUGCAGCUCUAAGUGGGUGGUAAAUUCCAUCUAAAGCUAAAUAUUGGCGAGAGACCGAUAGCGAACAAGUACAGUGAUGGAAAGAUGAAAAGAACUUUGAAAAGAGAGUGAAAAAGUACGUGAAAUUGUUGAAAGGGAAGGGCAUUUGAUCAGACAUGGUGUUUUGUGCCCUCUGCUCCUUGUGGGUAGGGGAAUCUCGCAUUUCACUGGGCCAGCAUCAGUUUUGGUGGCAGGAUAAAUCCAUAGGAAUGUAGCUUGCCUCGGUAAGUAUUAUAGCCUGUGGGAAUACUGCCAGCUGGGACUGAGGACUGCGACGUAAGUCAAGGAUGCUGGCAUAAUGGUUAUAUGCCGCCCGUCUUGAACCGGGCCA
This 618-nucleotide ribosomal RNA is filed under the name Saccharomyces cf. cerevisiae/paradoxus. RNAcentral describes it as "LSU rRNA". It matches the Rfam family "Eukaryotic large subunit ribosomal RNA", at positions 34 to 668 of the family's 3401-position model. The record is from RNAcentral. Lineage: Eukaryota; Fungi; Ascomycota; Saccharomycetes; Saccharomycetales; Saccharomycetaceae.